GUGCCAGCAGCCGCGGUAAGACGAAGGGGGCUAGCGUUGUUCGGAAUUACUGGGCGUAAAGCGCGUGUAGGCGGUUGUUCAAGUCAGGUGUGAAAGCCUUGAGCUCAACUCAAGAAAUGCACUUGAUACUGAAUGACUAGAGGACCGGAGAGGAUAGUGGAAUUCCCAGUGUAGUGGUGAAAUACGUAGAGAUUGGGAAGAACACCAGUGGCGAAGGCGGCUAUCUGGACGGUUACUGACGCUAAGACGCGAAAGCGUGGGGAGCAAACAGGAUUAGAUACCCUGGUAGUCC
This 292-nucleotide ribosomal RNA is filed under the name uncultured bacterium. Its description in RNAcentral is "partial 16S ribosomal RNA". It matches the Rfam family "Bacterial small subunit ribosomal RNA", at positions 505 to 796 of the family's 1533-position model. The record is from RNAcentral.